UCUGGUUGAUUCUGCCAGUAGUCAUAUGCUUGUCUCAAAGAUUAAGCCAUGCAUGUCUAAGUAUAAGCACUUUAUACUGUGAAACUGCGAAUGGCUCAUUAAAUCAGUUAUCGUUUAUUUGAUAGUACCUUACUACAUGGAUACCUGUGGUAAUUCUAGAGCUAAUACAUGCUAAAAACCUCGACUUCGGAAGGGGUGUAUUUAUUAGAUAAAAAACCAAUGCCCUUCGGGGCUCCUUGGUGAUUCAUAAUAACUUAACGAAUCGCAUGGCCUUGCGCCGGCGAUGGUUCAUUCAAAUUUCUGCCCUAUCAACUUUCGAUGGUAGGAUAGUGGCCUACCAUGGUGGCAACGGGUAACGGGGAAUUAGGGUUCGAUUCCGGAGAGGGAGCCUGAGAAACGGCUACCACAUCCAAGGAAGGCAGCAGGCGCGCAAAUUACCCAAUCCCGACACGGGGAGGUAGUGACAAUAAAUACUGAUACGGGGCUCUUUUGGGUCUCGUAAUUGGAAUGAGUACAAUCUAAAUCCCUUAACGAGGAACAAUUGGAGGGCAAGUCUGGUGCCAGCAGCCGCGGUAAUUCCAGCUCCAAUAGCGUAUAUUAAAGUUGUUGCAGUUAAAAAGCUCGUAGUUGAACCUUGGGUCUGGCUGGCCGGUCCGCCUCACCGCGAGUACUGGUCCGGCUGGACCUUUCCUUCUGGGGAACCUCAUGGCCUUCACUGGCUGUGGGGGGAACCAGGACUUUUACUGUGAAAAAAUUAGAGUGUUCAAAGCAGGCCUUUGCUCGAAUACAUUAGCAUGGAAUAAUAGAAUAGGACGUAGGAGGUAGGGUCAGCAUUAGGGUCAACAUUAGGGUCAACAUUAGGGUCAACAUUAGGGUCAACAUUAGGGUCAACAUUAGGGUCAACAUUAGGGUCAACAUUAGGGUCAACAUUAGGGUCAACAUUAGGGUCAACAUUAGGGUCAACAUUAGGGUCAACAUUAGGGUCAACAUUAGGGUCAACAUUAGGGUCACCC
RNAcentral lists this ribosomal RNA (1013 nucleotides) under Aspergillus flavus. RNAcentral's name for it is "bacterial SSU rRNA". It matches the Rfam family "Eukaryotic small subunit ribosomal RNA", at positions 1 to 961 of the family's 1831-position model. The record is from RNAcentral. Lineage: Eukaryota; Fungi; Ascomycota; Eurotiomycetes; Eurotiales; Aspergillaceae.